This 2104-nucleotide long non-coding RNA is filed under the name Homo sapiens (human). RNAcentral describes it as "HSALNT0315719". Lineage: Eukaryota; Metazoa; Chordata; Mammalia; Primates; Hominidae. The record is from RNAcentral.
CACGCGGAAGUGCCCGAGUGACCCUGUGAAGGACCUCCCUCCCCUCACACACGCACAUACACAAGCCCAUGUGGGAGCCCGAGUGACGUGUGCUCGGUGGUCAUGCACCAUCAUUUCCCUUCCACCUUCCUCCUCGCCGCUUCCUCUCCCUCCACCGCGCAGCUCCAGCCGCCUUGCCGCCGCCGCAUCCCCUUCCAAGUUCAGGCUGUGGGUGGAACCUGUUGCUUUAGCUCACGUUUCCCUUCCCCUCCGGGCUGCACGCUGAGGAUGACCUCAGCGAGGUGUGUGUAAGGGGAAUGGAGGUUUCAUCCAGAAACUGGAAGACAGGCUGUGGGUUGGCAAGCACCUGCUUUCCUCAGCUUAGUUGGAAGCUGUGGUGUGUUGUUCCACCUGCCCAGCAUCCAUUCUCCAGUGUUCCUUAGGUGACUCCCCAACUCUCCUCUCAGGACACAACAACCUUUUGGGGAAGACCUCAUCCUGAUUGCAGAGGCACCUACCACUCAGUGGAACCAUUCACCAGUGUGGGUAUGGCCUGCAGCCAGCUCCUCCCCACUCUUUUCUCGCCACCCACUUCAGCUCAGCCUGGGGACAGGAUGCUCCUCCCCUCAAAUGAGAAUUGAGUUGUUCUCCAAGUGAACUGACAAGUUUCCACAUUGCUGCUUUGUGAAUCUCUGCAUUUGCAGAGACACACUGAGGUCAGUCUGGGGGCCACUUGCUGUGGAGGUGCAGAAAGAAGAGUUGGCUAUGAGGAGAGACGAGAUGACAACAGUAAGAAUUUUCUGAAGUCUUGGAAGCUGAGUUGCCUUUGUCAGGGAGGAGCCAAUGCACCUGGAAAGUAUUUGUGAGGCUUUAAUGCCUAAGUAACAUUUGUACUGAAAUGCCUGAAUCUCUGCAAGAGAUUUUGAUGUUCAAUGUUACUCUUUCAACAGAAUAAAUGUAGACUUGGUCGCAGUUGUUCAUGUAAUUAGGCACCGGUUUAGUAAAAUGAUUUAUGUAGGCUAAUUCAUAUUGACCCUCAGAGAAAAAAAUCACAUAUUGUUAUUCAAGAAGCACAAGUAAUUUUGUCUCUUUUUACAAACCCAAAUCAAAUAGAUUACCUUUCUGAGCAAUGAACAACUUGAAAUGCAGAUAGAUAUGCAAGGUUAAAGAGCAAGAAGAUAAGGACUUGCAUUUGAAAGAGCAAGGUCUUCUGUAAUUUGGUGCCACAAAAUUCUCUUAAAUGAAUGUAGAGGAAACCAGAGGAUUCUGAAACUGAAAAAAAUCUCUCAAGGAAAAAGAAAAAGAUAGAAUAGAGGUUUCAUGGGAAACAGCAUUUUAUAUGUUAUUUAGCAGCCUUCUUCUUGAAGGAAAAACACUUCUCAAAACCUUCACCAAUACUCCUCUUGUCUAGGCCACCGUCAUCUCUGUUGUGGACACUGAAAAAGCUUCCUAUUGAAUGUUCCUCUUUCACCUUUGUCCCUUACAAUUUACUCUCCACUCAGUAGCCAAAGUGAUCUUUGAGAGAUUGUCUUUUAAAGCUUGCAACUCUCCAAUAGCUUCCCACUGUACUUAGGAUAAAAAUCAAACUUCUUAGCCUGGCUUUAAAGGCUCUUUAGGAUUUCUCAAUACAGACAUUUUUUCCAGGACAAUAUGAGCAAGACAAAUCUUGUGUGAGUCUAUCAAGAGCAGUGCAAGAUGUUUAUCAUCCCCGGUCCCUGUCCACUAGAAGCCAAUGGUGUCCUGCCCUCAACUCUAGCAUUGUAUAUGCAAAUUGCCACCUGCACAUCUUCAAACAUCUUCUAGGCAGAAAUAGAGAGGUUGCAGCACCCCCAGCUGAAACCCCUACUAGCCUACUCAAUCUGGCUCCUAUGGACUUUGAACCUCAGGAUCUUUGCAUUGCCUAUUUUCUCUGCCUAGAAUGCUCCAUUCCCAGACCGACCCAUGUUUGGCUUCUUUUCCAUAUUCGAUCUUACCUCCUCAGUCAGGCCUUCCCUGACCACCUAAAAAAGAGCAAAACACACGCACACUUGUGCACACAAAUACACACAGUUUCUCUCUCUCACUGAACACGCUUUAUCACUAUAUACAAUUUCCUUGUUUACUCAUUUAUUGUCUCUCUCUCUCC